UGCAGUAAAAAUGAGAACACAGCUUUAUUAUACAACGAUAAGCACAAAAUUGUUCCAGUUUCAAAUGGUUGGCUCCAGCCAUGACUUGUAGUCGGAUACUUAGAUUCUAACACGCUUUGAGGUAUAAAAUGGAGGACUGUAAACAAAAUCGUGGCAGUGGGCAGUGACCUUAAAGAAGGGCUGAAAGCAGUGGGCAGCGGCCUUUAAGAAGGGCUGAAAGCAGUGGGCAUGCAUUUGGGUAAUAAACGAGCUGAAUAUGCAUGUCAUAAUUAUAUAAUUACUCAACUUAUCAUGAGUUCAGGUCACUCAUUCCUCUAUCCCUCACAGACACUAUCAAAACAAUUAUGCAAGGUGUAUUUGGGCGGCCUCCCUGCUGCGGUGAGCAAAGGAGACAUCAGGGAGGCCCUCCAUUGUUUUGGAGCCACCAGCGUGAUUCAUUAUUAAGGGUGGUGGUUCGACCAAUUAACUUGACUGUGCUAUACUUUUCUGUUGUACAGUGUGUGGAAAUACCAGGACGACAAGGAGUGACAAGGGGAUAUGCCUUCGUCACAUUUGGUUUGCAAACGUCAGCUGAAAAGGCAAUAAAAGCCAAACAAAUUGUUAUUAACGGGAAAAAAUUAAUACAUACGACCACCACCACAGCAACCAUAGAACAACGAUCAGCAACACAGAGAAGAACAUUAAUUAAUUAAACCUGGACCCAACACUCCAAAUCACUUGUAUACAUUGUGUUAUUUUAUAUGCCUCGAUGCGCAUGCGCAAGACCAUGUAUUUUAUAUUUUACAGUAAAAGUUACGUUACUUGUUUGUGUGGUGAAUUGUGCAAAAUGAGUCAAAAUUAAAUUACCGUAACGCAUACUAAUAAAAUGUAUACUCGCGAAAAUCACCAUUUCCCAUUCAGUUAAACGAAUCUCACGAAAAUUUACCCACUAUAACUAUACGGUAGUAAGACUUUUGCUCAGAAGUAGAGAUACACACACCUGUUCACAUUUC
Halichondria panicea is the source of this 992-nucleotide long non-coding RNA. RefSeq lists it as uncharacterized. NCBI's taxonomy places the organism in Eukaryota, Metazoa, Porifera, Demospongiae, Suberitida, Halichondriidae. The transcript has 3 exons. The record is from RefSeq and is a predicted model, not a curated record.